UAAGGGAUAUUGCGCAAUGGGCGAAAGCCUGACGCAGCAACGCCGCGUGGAGGAUGAAGGCCUUCGGGUUGUAAACUUCUUUGGCUGGGGACGAGGAAGGACGGUACCCAGCAAACAAGUCACGGCUACCUACGUGCCAGCAGCCGCGGUAAAACGUAGGUGGCAAGCGUUAUCCGGAAUUACUGGGCGUAAAGGGUGUGCAGGCGGGGUGGCAAGUGGUGUAUGAAAUAUCCCAGCUUAACUGGGAGGGGUUAUGCCAGACUGCUACUCUAGAGGACGAGAGAGGGGCGUGGAAUUCCGGGUGUAGUGGUGAAAUGCGUAGAGAUCCGGAGGAACCCCAGAGGCGAAGGCGACGCCCUGGCUCGUACCUGACGCUCAGCCACGAAAGCAUGGGGAGCGAAC
Molecule: ribosomal RNA, 402 nt
Filed under: uncultured bacterium
Lineage: Bacteria
Description: bacterial SSU rRNA
Rfam family: Bacterial small subunit ribosomal RNA
Source: RNAcentral